This is an unclassified non-coding RNA of Macaca fascicularis (crab-eating macaque), 148 nucleotides long. It matches the Rfam family "Metazoan signal recognition particle RNA". From Rfam's summary of the family: The signal recognition particle (SRP) is a universally conserved ribonucleoprotein. NCBI's taxonomy places the organism in Eukaryota, Metazoa, Chordata, Mammalia, Primates, Cercopithecidae. The record is from Ensembl.
GCCAGGUAUAGUAGUGCAUGCCUGUAGUCCCAGCUACUUGGGAGGCAGAGGCAGGAGGAUCACUUGAGCCCAGGAGUUCGAGGUUGCAAUGAGCUGUGAUCACACCACUGCACUCCAGCCUGGGCAACAGAGCAAGAUCCUGUCUCUU